This 22-nucleotide non-coding RNA is filed under the name Callorhinchus milii (elephant shark). RNAcentral also lists the same sequence under 24 other names. The record is from RNAcentral. Lineage: Eukaryota; Metazoa; Chordata; Chondrichthyes; Chimaeriformes; Callorhinchidae.
CAGUGCAAUAUUAAAAGGGCAU